This 1319-nucleotide ribosomal RNA is filed under the name Amphiorchis sp. SCC-2016. RNAcentral describes it as "eukaryotic LSU rRNA". It matches the Rfam family "Eukaryotic large subunit ribosomal RNA", at positions 34 to 962 of the family's 3401-position model. Lineage: Eukaryota; Metazoa; Platyhelminthes; Trematoda; Strigeidida; Spirorchiidae. RNAcentral also lists the same sequence under 1 other name. The record is from RNAcentral.
UUAAGCAUAUCACUAAGCGGAGGAAAAGAAACUAACAAGGAUUCCCUUAGUAACUGCGAGUGAACAGGGAUUAGCCCAGCACCGAAGCCUGUGGUUAUUUGACUACUAGGCAAUGUGGUGUUUAGGUUGGUUCUUGGCAUUACUGCUCUACCCUAAGUCCAGCAAUGAGUACGGCUUACUAGUCUGGCCCAUAGAGGGUGAAAGGCCCGUGGGGGUGGAGAUCAAGUGUGUCAGUUUUGCUCUGAGCUAACCUUGGAGUCGGGUUGUUUGUGAAUGCAGCCCAAAGUGGGUGGUAAACUCCAUCCAAGGCUAAAUACUAACACGAGUCCGAUAGCAAACAAGUACCGUGAGGGAAAGUUGAAAAGUACUUUGAAGAGAGAGUAAACAGUGCGUGAAACUGCUCAAAGGUAAACGGGUGGAGUUGAACUGCAAGCUUUGGGAAUUCAGCUGAUGAGUAUGGCUAGCGUUCAGGCUUGUUGGCCGUCCCUGAAUGUCUGUCUAAUGGCAGGUGCCUUCCCUUUGGGUUGGUAUGUGUGUUGCGCUUAUCAUGUGCCACACGCAUUUGGGGUAAUGGGUCUGCUUGUCAGUGCACUUUCUCAGAGUGUUCACCACGACCGGCACUGCUGUCUGUCUGCAUUAGUCAAACUGGUCAGGUCUGGUUAUCGCUAGGCUUGGUUGGGAUGGCAGGUAGCUCGAGUGUUCCUUUAUUGGACUUUGAGUGUAAUGAGCUGACCAUUGUGGAUCUGUACGGUGUGUCGGAGAUGACGGCUUUGCAUGCGUGCUCUGUCCUUCGGGCGAGAUUGAGUCCGGUUGGCUUGUUACUGACUUCGGUUAGUCUGUCGAUGGCUUAGUCUUGUUCAGUUGGCGGUUGCGUGUGUAACUUGGUUUGGGCCAAUAGUCUGUGGUGUAGUGGUAGACGAUCCACCUGACCCGUCUUGAAACACGGACCAAGGAGUUUAACAUAUGCGCGAGUCAUUGGGCACUACGAAACCCAAAGGCGAAGUGAAGGUAAAGGUUUGGCUUGUCUGAACUGAGGUGAGAUCCUGUUGGUUUGCCUAGUAAAUAUCUGAACAGCGAACAGCGGGCGCAUCACCGGCCCGUCCCAUGGCGUAGACAUAUGACCUUGUGUUGUGUGCACCGUCGGGGCGGAGCAAGAGCGCAUACGUUGAGACCCGAAAGAUGGUGAACUAUGCUUGCUAAGGUUGAAGCCAGAGGAAACUCUGGUGGAGGACCGCAGCGAUUCUGACGUGCAAAUCGAUCGUCUAAAGUGAGUAUGGGGGCGAAAGACUAAUCGAACUAUCUAGUAGCUGGUUCCCUCC